GGAAUCUUCCACAAUGGGCGCAAGCCUGAUGGAGCAACACCGCGUGAGUGAAGAAGGGUUUCGGCUCGUAAAGCUCUGUUGUUAAAGAAGAACACGUAUGAGAGUAACUGUUCAUACGUUGACGGUAUUUAACCAGAAAGUCACGGCUAACUACGUGCCGG
RNAcentral lists this ribosomal RNA (161 nucleotides) under uncultured bacterium. RNAcentral describes it as "partial 16S rRNA". It matches the Rfam family "Bacterial small subunit ribosomal RNA", at positions 358 to 511 of the family's 1533-position model. The record is from RNAcentral.